RNAcentral lists this ribosomal RNA (301 nucleotides) under uncultured bacterium. RNAcentral's name for it is "partial 16S ribosomal RNA". It matches the Rfam family "Bacterial small subunit ribosomal RNA", at positions 509 to 807 of the family's 1533-position model. The record is from RNAcentral.
CAGUCGCCGCGGUAACACGAAGGGGGCAAGCGUUGCUCGGAAUGACUGGGCGUAAAGGGCGCGUAGGUGGUGUGGACAGUCAGAUGUGAAAUUCCUGGGCUCAACCUGGGGGCUGCAUUUGAUACGUCCAAACUAGAGUGUGGAAGAGGGUCGUGGAAUUCCCAGUGUAGAGGUGAAAUUCGUAGAUAUUGGGAAGAACACCGGUGGCGAAGGCGGCGACCUGGUCCAUUACUGACGCUGAGGCGCGAAAGCGUGGGGAGCAAACAGGAUUAGAUACCCCCGUAGUCCCUGUCUCUUAUAC